RNA transcript from Manis pentadactyla (Chinese pangolin), 2114 nucleotides. It is a transcript of the gene named inorganic pyrophosphatase 2, with no coding region annotated. The transcript is spliced from 13 exons. NCBI's taxonomy places the organism in Eukaryota, Metazoa, Chordata, Mammalia, Pholidota, Manidae. The record is from RefSeq and is a predicted model, not a curated record.
GAGCCCCGACCACCGCCCCGCGCAGAUCGGACCGCCAUGCGCGCCCUGCUGCCGCUGCUGCGCACGGGCCGGGGCUGGUGCGCGGCCGCCUCCGUAGCCGCGCGCCUGCCGUGGGGAGCGAGCGCAGGGCCCGGGCCGCGCCGCGCCAUGGCCCUGUACCGCACGGAGGAGCGCGGCCAGCCGCACUCGCCCGGCUACCGCCUCUUCUUCAAGAAUGUAGCUGGUCACUACAUUUCCCCUUUUCAUGAUAUUCCUCUGAAGGUGGACUCUGCAGAGGAAAAUGGCAUUCCUACAAAGAGAGCACGAAAUGAUGAAUAUGAGAAUUUGUUUAAUAUGGUUGUAGAAGUACCACGGUGGACAAAUGCUAAAAUGGAGAUUGCCACAGAGGAGCCAUUGAAUCCCAUUAAGCAAGAUAUAAAGGAUGGCAGGCUGCGCUAUGUGGCGAAUAUCUUUCCUCACAAGGGUUAUAUAUGGAAUUAUGGUGCUCUCCCUCAGACUUGGGAAGAUCCCCAUCGAAAAGACAAGAACACAGACUGCUGUGGAGAUAACGAUCCUAUUGAUAUUUGUGAAAUAGGCUCAAAGAUUUUUUCACGUGGAGAGGUUAUUCAUGUGAAGAUCCUUGGAAUUUUGGCUCUCAUUGAUCAGGGGGAAACAGAUUGGAAGUUAAUCGCUAUCAGUGUGAAUGAUCCUGAAGCCUCAAAGUUCCAUGAUAUUGAUGAUGUUAAGAAAUACAAACCAGGUUACCUGGAAGCUACGCUAAAUUGGUUUAGAUUUUAUAAGGUGCCCGAAGGAAAACCAGAGAACGAGUUUGCUUUUAAUGGAGAAUUCAGAAACAAGGCUUUUGCUCUUGAAGUUAUUAAGUCUACUCAUGAAUGUUGGAAAGCACUGCUUAUGAAGAAGAGUGAUGGAGGGACUAUAAAUUGCACAAAUGUGCAAGUAUGUGAUAGCCCUUUCCAUUGCACUCAAGAGGAAGCAAGAUCAUUGAUUGAAUCGGUGCCAUCUUCACUGAAUAAACAAAGUAAUGAAGAAGCGCAAGUGUGGCACUUCCUUGGCAAGUGAUGGGGGCGGUUGAAGUCUGCCAUCAGGAUCCCAGUCUCUAAGGACUCCAAGCCUCCGUCUCCCCCAAGUGCUGGAGACAGGCAGAUCUGUGAGAAUCGGCUGACUUCCCAUUGAAACUUCCUUUUUUUCCCAAACAUUUUUGAGAUAUUGCAAGGCCUUCGGGAAGCCCUGAGUGAGAGUCUCGGUGAGAAAGACUCGAAGAUGUCCACCAGUAAUGCCAGAGACAUAAGCCUCUCUGAGUCUCAGCUGUGCGAGGAAGGGAGAAAACCCCAUCCUAGAUUUCUCUGCCACACGUCUGGGACCUAUUUGGACAGCAGCAGAGGCAUACAACACCAAGUACUCACAGAAAAGACGAGCUUCAGUUGCAACUGCAUGUCCCCCACUUUGCCCUCAGGAUGAAAGGAUGGCUGUGACCCCCAAUUUUUUUGUUGUUGCUUUUGGAUCCUAAGCUAAGUAUGAAGAAAACACCCAAAAUCCUUCUGCCUAGAUUAUGGGCAAGGAAGUGAUGGGCACAUAUCUACCCCCUGCCAGGCCACACACACAAACCCUGACACUCUCCUGGGUCAGCUCUCCUGCUGCUAGUUUGGUUUUGUGUGUGUGUGACCAGCGCUAUCAACACUCACAGCGAGAGGGAUGAUGGGGAGCUUGUCCCCUGAAAGGCCAGGUAGGUUUCAGAUUUAGGAUUAUUUAAAGAAGUAACUGGAAACUAAAAGUGUAACAUCUAACAUGGGUGGGUGCGACCACUCAAAAAUAAAUUAGAAAAUUAGCACAGAAAAGUGCCUCCUGACAAGUGGGUGACAGGAGGUUAAAUAUAAAGUAGCAUCUGUUAGGAAGAAAACUAGGUAAAAAGUAUACAUGUAUACAAAUAGAACACAAAAUGUUAACAAACUGAGGAAGGCAGUUUAUUAGAGUGGUGGGCAUCUGAAUGAUUGUUUAAAAGUCUUGUCGAUGUUGUAAUACAGUGAGUAUAACAAAUUUAAAGUAACCCAAAUUGAUGGCUUUAUAGCAAGUGAUGGUUUUUUGCUUGAGCUAUAAUAAAAACAUCUUAACCUAAA